RNAcentral lists this ribosomal RNA (477 nucleotides) under uncultured bacterium. Its description in RNAcentral is "partial 16S ribosomal RNA". It matches the Rfam family "Bacterial small subunit ribosomal RNA", at positions 29 to 507 of the family's 1533-position model. The record is from RNAcentral.
AUUGAACGCUGGCGGCAUGCCUUACACAUGCAAGUCGAACGGUAACAGGUUAAGCUGACGAGUGGCGAACGGGUGAGUAAUACAUCGGAACGUGCCCAGUAGUGGGGGAUAGCCCGGCGAAAGCCGGAUUAAUACCGCAUACGACCUAAGUGUGAAAGGGGGGGAUCGCAAGACCUCUCGCUAUUGGAUCGGCCGAUGUCAGAUUAACGAGUUGUUGGGGUAAAAGCUAACCAAGGCGACAAUCUUGAGGUGGGUUGAGAUGCCGAACAGCCACACUGGGACUGAGACACGGGACAAACUCCUAAGGGAGGCAGGAGUGGGGAAUUUUGGAAAAGGGGCGCAAGACUGAUCCAGGCAAGACGCGGGCGGGAAGAAGGACUUCGGGUUGGAAACCGGUUUUGGCAGGGAAGAAAACCUUUGGGUUAAUACCUCGGGGGGAUGACGGUACCUGAAGAAUAAGCACCGGCUAACUACGUG